GAAGAGGUGGCCGAGUGGUUAAGGCAAUGGAUUGCUAAUCCAUUGGGGUUUUCCCGCGUGGGUUCGAAUCCCAUCCCCGUCG
Schistosoma rodhaini is the source of this 82-nucleotide non-coding RNA. The record is from Rfam. Lineage: Eukaryota; Metazoa; Platyhelminthes; Trematoda; Strigeidida; Schistosomatidae.